AGGUUGGCCUUAAACUUGAAAUCCUCCUGCCUCAGCCUCCCAAGCUGAUGGGAUUACAAAGCAACAAAGACAAGAAGAAGAAAAGCCCUUCUGAGUAGGAAAUUCACCAGGAUUUCAAUGAUGUGGGAAUAUAAAAUUGCACUUGGGUAUGUGAUGAAAAAAGAUGAGACUGGAAGUAUUUAGGUUCCCUCAAACAUUAACCUGCAAUGAGAUCAUCUGGGCUCUUGCUGAAAUGUAGACUGAUUACUCAAGUGUGAAAUGAGACCUGAAAUGCCGCAUUUCUGGGAAGGCCUCAGUGCUGCUGGUGCUGUUAGACCUCACUGAGUAAGCACAUCCAGAGCAGGGAGUGGAAAUUUCCCAGGUCUGAGGAACAGGUGCACCAAGCAGAGCCCUGAUAGUGGGAUGUGCUAGAGAGCUUCCCACUGUGAGAGGAUGUUGCCAAAUGGGGGUGGGGGGAGGG
Molecule: long non-coding RNA, 460 nt
Filed under: Marmota monax (woodchuck)
Lineage: Eukaryota; Metazoa; Chordata; Mammalia; Rodentia; Sciuridae
Source: RNAcentral